CCAAAUACAUGAUGAUCUCAUUGCAACUUGAACUCUCUCACUGAUCAUUUGAUGAUUAAAAAAAAAAAAAAAGAAAGCAUAGCCAAAUAUG
Canis lupus familiaris (dog) is the source of this 91-nucleotide non-coding RNA. The record is from Rfam. NCBI's taxonomy places the organism in Eukaryota, Metazoa, Chordata, Mammalia, Carnivora, Canidae.